RNAcentral lists this ribosomal RNA (482 nucleotides) under uncultured bacterium. RNAcentral describes it as "partial 16S ribosomal RNA". It matches the Rfam family "Bacterial small subunit ribosomal RNA", at positions 28 to 523 of the family's 1533-position model. The record is from RNAcentral.
GACGAACGCUGGCGGCCUGCUUAACACAUGCAAGUCGAACGAUGAAAUGGAGCUUGCUCCAUGGAUUAGUGGCGAACGGGUGAGUAACACGUGAAUAACCUGCCCUUAAUUUUGGAAUAACCCAGGGAAUCCUGGGCUAAUACCGGAUAAGUAAACCUGUGGCAUCACAUGGUUUUGGAAAGUUUUUCGAUUAAGGAUGGAUUCGCGGCCUAUCAGCUUGUUGGUGAGGUAAUGGCUCACCAAGGCGACGACGGGUAGCCGGCCUGGGAGGGGGAACGGCCAACAACGGAGUGAGACACGGCCCACACUCCGUCGGGAGGGAGAAGUGGGGAAUAGUGCGCGAUGGACGAACGUCGGACGCAGCGACGCCUAGUGAGGGACGAAGGUCUUCGGAUUGUAAACCUCUUUCAGCAGGGACGAAGCGAAAGUGACGGUACCUGCAGAAGAAGCACCGGCUAACUAUGUGCCAGCCGCCGCCGUAA